GAUGAACGCUGGCGGCGUGCCUAAUACAUGCAAGUCGAACGCUUUGUGGUUCAACUGAUUUGAAGAGCUUGCUCAGAUAUGACGAUGGACAUUGCAAAGAGUGGCGAACGGGUGAGUAACACGUGGGAAACCUACCUCUUAGCAGGGGAUAACAUUUGGAAACAGAUGCUAAUACCGUAUAACAAUGACAACCGCAUGGUUGUUAUUUAAAAGAUGGUUCUGCUAUCACUAAGAGAUGGUCCCGCGGUGCAUUAGCUAGUUGGUAAGGUAAUGGCUUACCAAGGCGAUGAUGCAUAGCCGAGUUGAGAGACUGAUCGGCCACAAUGGGACUGUGACACGGCCCAUACUCCUACGGGAGGCAGCAGUAGGGAAUCUUCCACAAUGGGCGAAAGCCUGAUGGAGCAACGCCGCGUGUGUGAUGAAGGGUUUCGGCUCGUAAAACACUGUUGUAAGAGAAGAAUGACAUUGAGAGUAACUGUUCAAUGUGUGACGGUAUCUUACCAGAAAGGAACGGCUAAAUACGUGCCAGCAGCCGCGGUAAUACGUAUGUUCCAAGCGUUAUCCGGAUUUAUUGGGCGUAAAGCGAGCGCAGACGGUUAUUUAAGUCUGAAGUGAAAGCCCUCAGCUCAACUGAGGAAUUGCUUUGGAAACUGGAUGACUUGAGUGCAGUAGAGGAAAGUGGAACUCCAUGUGUAGCGGUGAAAUGCGUAGAUAUAUGGAAGAACACCAGUGGCGAAGGCGGCUUUCUGGACUGUAACUGACGUUGAGGCUCGAAAGUGUGGGUAGCAAACAGGAUUAGAUACCCUGGUAGUCCACACCGUAAACGAUGAGUGCUAGGUGUUUGAGGGUUUCCGCCCUUAAGUGCCGCAGCUAACGCAUUAAGCACUCCGCCUGGGGAGUACGACCGCAAGGUUGAAACUCAAAGGAAUUGACGGGGACCCGCACAAGCGGUGGAGCAUGUGGUUUAAUUCGAAGCAACGCGAAGAACCUUACCAGGUCUUGACAUCCCUUGACAACUCCAGAGAUGGAGCGUUCCCUUCGGGGACAAGGUGACAGGUGGUGCAUGGUUGUCGUCAGCUCGUGUCGUGAGAUGUUGGGUUAAGUCCCGCAACGAGCGCAACCCUUAUUACUAGUUGCCAGCAUUCAGUUGGGCACUCUAGUGAGACUGCCGGUGACAAACCGGAGGAAGGUGGGGAUGACGUCAAAUCAUCAUGCCCCUUAUGACCUGGGCUACACACGUGCUACAAUGGCGUAUACAACGAGUUGCCAACCCGCGAGGGUGAGCUAAUCUCUUAAAGUACGUCUCAGUUCGGAUUGUAGGCUGCAACUCGCCUACAUGAAGUCGGAAUCGCUAGUAAUCGCGGAUCAGCACGCCGCGGUGAAUACGUUCCCGGGUCU
Molecule: ribosomal RNA, 1398 nt
Filed under: uncultured bacterium
Lineage: Bacteria
Description: bacterial SSU rRNA
Rfam family: Bacterial small subunit ribosomal RNA
Source: RNAcentral